RNAcentral lists this transfer RNA (77 nucleotides) under Gilliamella apicola. RNAcentral describes it as "tRNA-Ile". It matches the Rfam family "tRNA". Rfam says of the family: Transfer RNA (tRNA) molecules are approximately 80 nucleotides in length. Their secondary structure includes four short double-helical elements and three loops (D, anti-codon, and T loops). Lineage: Bacteria; Pseudomonadati; Pseudomonadota; Gammaproteobacteria; Orbales; Orbaceae. The record is from RNAcentral.
GGCCCCUUAGCUCAGUUGGUCAGAGCAGUCAACUCAUAAUCGAUUGGUCACUGGUUCAAGUCCAGUAGGGGCCACCA